ACUAAUUACAAGAACCAGGGGCGGAAAAUUCAGCCCUCUCGAUUGUUACGUAGCACGGACAGACUAUACGCCUGAUGGUCGUUCCCCAUCGGGCCUGAAAACCGCAAUACGCUGGGUAACAAUCUUCGAGGGUAGCAGUUAACGCUGCUACCCUCUUUUUUCUG
Molecule: small RNA, 164 nt
Filed under: uncultured Escherichia sp.
Lineage: Bacteria; Pseudomonadati; Pseudomonadota; Gammaproteobacteria; Enterobacterales; Enterobacteriaceae
Description: sroC RNA
Rfam family: sroC RNA
About the family: This family consists of a number of bacterial sroC RNA genes of around 160 bases in length. sroC is found in several Enterobacterial species. It base-pairs with GcvB.
Source: RNAcentral